AACAUUUUUAGUUAACUAAUGUGUUUCAUACUGUUUUAGAUGAUUGAAUUGGUCAGUUACAAGCCAAAUAAAGGUUCUCUGGACAGAGAAAGGAGUCACACAUGGGUGAACCUCAGGAAAGCCUUCUCUAUAUAGCGAGCUAAAAGGAUGACUGGUUUUUAUCCUAGGUUUUUGUCAAAACACUGUGGAAAGGGCCUGAAAAGGAAAGGCAGGCACCGUCACCCAACCACGAACGAACUUCCAUCGAGCUUAUAGCAGCGGGACAUGAGGAAGAGAAAAGAAAUUGAAUAAGAUGAAUAACGUUCAUUAAUAUUCCUGAGCACUGACCCGCACCCAGCCCUGCCAAACCCAGUCUGAGCUGGACGUUUCCUCUUCAGGCCUCCUGAACCCACCGGCACGCUGCACUGAGGACUGACUGGUUUAAGCUACUUCAGUUCAAAUGUGCAGUGAAAUACGUUGAAUCAUUACAGUAAGAACCUUUAUUUUAUGUCAGAUUUAUUGGAUAGAAGUUCAAUCAGGACUCUUCAUUAUUUUUCUUUUGUAAUUUUCUACAAAGCUCAUUUUUCCACAUUUCACAUUUUUCUAACAUAACAUAAUACGAAAAGAAGGAAAUCUACUGCAAAU
RNAcentral lists this long non-coding RNA (624 nucleotides) under Astyanax mexicanus (Mexican tetra). Its description in RNAcentral is "lncRNA (ENSAMXG00005017468.1)". Lineage: Eukaryota; Metazoa; Chordata; Actinopteri; Characiformes; Acestrorhamphidae. The record is from RNAcentral.